RNAcentral lists this long non-coding RNA (774 nucleotides) under Homo sapiens (human). RNAcentral's name for it is "HSALNT0317412". Lineage: Eukaryota; Metazoa; Chordata; Mammalia; Primates; Hominidae. The record is from RNAcentral.
CUGCAGGCAGGACAGUCCUCUUCCCGGGCUCACCGCAACAUUCAGUAGCUGCUUUGAAGGAACAGAAUAAGGUUGCCACAUGCCAGUCUGUCCUCCGAUCACUUCAGGGUUCCACUCACCGUGGGUUCAAGGCUUCUUUGAUUCUUUGUUUCCUUUAGUUUUCAUUCUCUCCUCUUCAGAACAAGAGUAGAUGGUUCGGUGUAUGCAAAUAUCACAGUUCCAGAAACCCACACCUGUGACUGAUGGGAGUGGUGGACAAAUACCCACAACUUCCUCUCUCUACUCUUGGCUGAGGACAAUUCUGAAGUGAGCCCUACACUGUCUCCCAGAUGCAGUCUGACCUGAGCCAUGAAGAAGUGCAGAGUCCCCAAGAGGCCAGAGAGCUCACGUCUGGUUAGAGUCGGGGUGUUUGAUGGGAAGAUGAAAGGAGGAGCUGGCAUCUGAGGCCUCUCCUUGGUGUCUGCUGUCCACGAGCACAGCCCUGUCUUCAGAGCCAGGGGAUCAGGAAACAGCAUGGGUCAUGUUGAGAGACACAAGCUCACCUCUGCCCACAGGACGAAACAGCCUGGCGGGCACAGGCCUCACAUCCAACUCCUGGGGGUCCCUAGCCUGCCCUCCCUGACCCUCCAUCCUCACCCAGAUCCUCCGCUGCUCCCCGGGAGCCCUCGGCUUGCACAGCUUUCACCUGGGCUGGGAAAGUCUCUCUUCUGCACACUCGCUGCCAUGUUUGCCAAGCACCAGACCUUUAAGUACCAUGUACCAUUUUUUUUUCAU